RNAcentral lists this ribosomal RNA (78 nucleotides) under Salmonella enterica subsp. enterica serovar Infantis. RNAcentral describes it as "partial 16S ribosomal RNA". It matches the Rfam family "Bacterial small subunit ribosomal RNA", at positions 1456 to 1533 of the family's 1533-position model. The record is from RNAcentral. Lineage: Bacteria; Pseudomonadati; Pseudomonadota; Gammaproteobacteria; Enterobacterales; Enterobacteriaceae.
AAAACAUUGAGAUUCAUGACUGGGGUGAAGUCGUAACAAGGUAACCGUAGGGGAACCUGCGGUUGGAUCACCUCCUUA